This 468-nucleotide ribosomal RNA is filed under the name uncultured bacterium. RNAcentral describes it as "partial 16S ribosomal RNA". It matches the Rfam family "Bacterial small subunit ribosomal RNA", at positions 28 to 507 of the family's 1533-position model. The record is from RNAcentral.
GACGAACGCUGGCGGCGUGCUUAACACAUGCAAGUCGAACGGAAAGGCCCUGCUUUUGUGGGGUGCUCGAGUGGCGAACGGGUGAGUAACACGUGAGUAACCUGCCCUUGACUUUGGGAUAACUUCAGGAAACUGGGGCUAAUACCGGAUAGGAGCUCCUGCUGCAUGGUGGGGGUUGGAAAGUUUCGGCGGUUGGGGAUGGACUCGCGGCUUAUCAGCUUGUUGGUGGGGUAGUGGCUUACCAAGGCUUUGACGGGUAGCCGGCCUGAGAGGGUGACCGGCCACAAUGGGACUGAGAUACGGACCAGACUCCUAUGGGAGGCAGCAGUGGGGAAUAUUGCACAAUGGGCGGAAGCCUGAUGCAGCAACGCCGCGUGCGGGAUGACGGCCUUCGGGUUGUAAACCGCUUUCGCCUGUGACGAAGCGUGAGUGACGGUAAUGGGUAAAGAAGCACCGGCUAACUACGUG